UAGAGGAAGUAAAAGUCGUAACAAGGUUUCCGUAGGUGAACCUGCGGAAGGAUCAUUAUUGAAUUUUGAGAGGGGUUGUAGCUGGCGUUCUCGGACGCAUUUUGUGCACGCCCUGAUCAUUAUCCAUCUCACACCUGUGCACACUCUGUAGGUGGGUUACUGGGGCUACUGUCUUUAUUGGUGGUGCUCUGUGGCCUUCCUAUGUUUUUAUACAAACUACUCAGUUUAAAGAAUGUCAAUUGCGUGUAACGCAUUUAUAUACAACUUUCAGCAACGGAUCUCUUGGCUCUCGCAUCGAUGAAGAACGCAGCGAAAUGCGAUAAGUAAUGUGAAUUGCAGAAUUCAGUGAAUCAUCGAAUCUUUGAACGCACCUUGCGCUCCUUGGUAUUCCGAGGAGCAUGCCUGUUUGAGUGUCAUGGAAUUCUCAACUCUAUUUGCUAUUUGUGAAUAGGGCUUGGACUUGGAGGUUUUGAAUGCUGGAUACUACUUUGUAUUCAGCUCCUCUUAAAUGCAUUAGCUCGAGCCUGUUGUGGAUCAGCUUCAGUGUGAUAAUUGUCUACGCUGUUCUGUGAAGCAUUAUUAUAUAUGGGCCUUCGGCUUCUAAUUGUCCUGUACUGGACAACAUCUAUGACCUUUGACCUCAAAUCAGGUAGGGUUACCCGCUGAACUUAAGCAUAUCA
Molecule: ribosomal RNA, 680 nt
Filed under: Fomitopsis malicola
Lineage: Eukaryota; Fungi; Basidiomycota; Agaricomycetes; Polyporales; Fomitopsidaceae
Description: eukaryotic LSU rRNA
Rfam family: 5.8S ribosomal RNA (bases 263-416)
Source: RNAcentral